UGCAGUCGAACGGUAGCACAGAAGCAAGCUUGCUGCUUGGCUGACGAGUGGCGGACGGGUGAGGAUGCCUGGGAAUCUGCCUGGUGGAGGGGGAUAACUACUGGAAACUUACGCUAAUACCGCAUACCACCUACAGACCAAAGAGGGGGACCUUCGGACCUCUUGCCAUCGAAUGAGCCCAUAUGGGAUUAGCUAGUUGGCGGGGUAACGGCUCACCAAGGCGACGAUCCCUAGCUGGUCUGAGAGGAUGACCAGCCACACUGGAACUGAGACACGGUCCAGACUCCUACGGGAGGCAGCAGUGGGGAAUAUUGCACAAUGGGCGCAAGCCUGAUGCAGCCAUGCCGCGUGUAUGAAGAAGGCCUUCGGGUUGUAAAGCCCUUUUGUUGGGAAGGAAGGCAGUAUGGCUAAUACCUUUGCUCAUUGACGUUACCCGCAGAAUAAGCACCGGCUAACUUCGUGCCAGCAGCCGCGGUAAUACGAAGGGUGCAAGCGUUACUCGGAAUUACUGGGCGUAAAGCGCACGUAGGUGGUUUGUUAAGUCCGAUGUGAAAUCCCCGGGCUCAACCUGGGAACUGCAUCUGAUACUGCAAGACUAGAGUCUCGUAGAGGGGAGGUAGAAUUCCCUGUUGUUAGCGAGUGAAAUGCGUAGAGAUCUAGGAGGAAUCAUCGCAUGGCGAAAG
RNAcentral lists this ribosomal RNA (683 nucleotides) under Escherichia coli. RNAcentral describes it as "bacterial SSU rRNA". It matches the Rfam family "Bacterial small subunit ribosomal RNA", at positions 56 to 721 of the family's 1533-position model. The record is from RNAcentral. Lineage: Bacteria; Pseudomonadati; Pseudomonadota; Gammaproteobacteria; Enterobacterales; Enterobacteriaceae.